GCCCCUAUCGUCUAGAGGCCAAGGACAUCUCCCUUUCACGGAGGAAACAGGGGUUCGACUCCCCUUGGGGGUA
This 73-nucleotide transfer RNA is filed under the name Verdigellas peltata. RNAcentral's name for it is "tRNA-Glu". It matches the Rfam family "tRNA". From Rfam's summary of the family: Transfer RNA (tRNA) molecules are approximately 80 nucleotides in length. Their secondary structure includes four short double-helical elements and three loops (D, anti-codon, and T loops). Further hydrogen bonds mediate the characteristic L-shaped molecular structure. tRNAs have two regions of fundamental functional importance: the anti-codon, which is responsible for specific mRNA codon recognition, and the 3' end, to which the tRNAs corresponding amino acid is attached (by aminoacyl-tRNA synthetases). tRNAs cope with the degeneracy of the genetic code in two manners: having more than one tRNA (with a specific anti-codon) for a particular amino acid; and 'wobble' base-pairing, i.e. permitting non-standard base-pairing at the 3rd anti-codon position. Lineage: Eukaryota; Viridiplantae; Prasinodermophyta; Palmophyllophyceae; Palmophyllales; Palmophyllaceae. RNAcentral also lists the same sequence under 1 other name. The record is from RNAcentral.